This is a non-coding RNA of Caenorhabditis elegans, 68 nucleotides long. The record is from Ensembl. Lineage: Eukaryota; Metazoa; Nematoda; Chromadorea; Rhabditida; Rhabditidae.
AAUGUGCGGGAUUUUCCACAAAAAAACGUGGGAAAUGCCAAUAGAGAUGUCAAACUUAUGAGUUCUCU